Molecule: ribosomal RNA, 301 nt
Filed under: uncultured bacterium
Lineage: Bacteria
Description: partial 16S ribosomal RNA
Rfam family: Bacterial small subunit ribosomal RNA
Source: RNAcentral
CAGUAGCCGCGGGAAUACGGAGGGUGCAAGCGUUAAUCGGAAUUACUGGGCGUAAAGCGCACGCAGGCGGUCUGACAAGUCAGAUGUGAAAUCCCCGGGCUUAACCUGGGAACUGCAUUUGAAACUGUCAGGCUGGAGUCUUGUAGAGGGGGGUAGAAUUCCAGGUGUAGCGGUGAAAUGCGUAGAGAUCUGGAGGAAUACCGGUGGCGAAGGCGGCCCCCUGGACAAAGACUGACGCUCAGGUGCGAAAGCGUGGGGAGCAAACAGGAUUAGAGACCCGGGUAGUCCCUGUCUCUUAUAA